CAUCUUAAAGCCAAUGGAGGUACAUUAUUUACACUAAUGAAAAUUAUUGAUUUAUCAAUAUAAGUUGA
RNAcentral lists this transfer RNA (68 nucleotides) under Aleeta curvicosta. RNAcentral's name for it is "tRNA-Val". The record is from RNAcentral. Lineage: Eukaryota; Metazoa; Arthropoda; Insecta; Hemiptera; Cicadidae.